Molecule: transfer RNA, 88 nt
Filed under: Planctomycetota bacterium
Lineage: Bacteria; Pseudomonadati; Planctomycetota
Description: tRNA-Ser
Rfam family: tRNA
About the family: Transfer RNA (tRNA) molecules are approximately 80 nucleotides in length. Their secondary structure includes four short double-helical elements and three loops (D, anti-codon, and T loops). Further hydrogen bonds mediate the characteristic L-shaped molecular structure. tRNAs have two regions of fundamental functional importance: the anti-codon, which is responsible for specific mRNA codon recognition, and the 3' end, to which the tRNAs corresponding amino acid is attached (by aminoacyl-tRNA synthetases). tRNAs cope with the degeneracy of the genetic code in two manners: having more than one tRNA (with a specific anti-codon) for a particular amino acid; and 'wobble' base-pairing, i.e. permitting non-standard base-pairing at the 3rd anti-codon position.
Source: RNAcentral
GGAGGGAUGGCCGAGCGGCCGAAGGCGGCGGUCUUGAAAACCGCUGACCCGAAAGGGUCCGGGGGUUCGAAUCCCUCUCCCUCCGCCA